RNAcentral lists this ribosomal RNA (206 nucleotides) under uncultured bacterium. RNAcentral describes it as "partial 16S ribosomal RNA". It matches the Rfam family "Bacterial small subunit ribosomal RNA", at positions 568 to 774 of the family's 1533-position model. The record is from RNAcentral.
CUCGUAGGCGGUCUUAAAGUCAGAUGUUAAAUCUUCAGGCUUAACCUGAACCUCUCAUCUGAAACUUUAAGACUUGAGGUCAGAAGAGGAAAGUGGAAUCCCGGUGUAGCGGUGAAAUGCGUAGAUAUCGGGAGGAACACCAGUGGCGAAGGCGGCUUUCUGGUCUGAUUCUGACGCUGAGGAGCGAAAGCCAGGGGGAGCAAACG